RNAcentral lists this ribosomal RNA (590 nucleotides) under uncultured bacterium. Its description in RNAcentral is "partial 16S ribosomal RNA". It matches the Rfam family "Bacterial small subunit ribosomal RNA", at positions 355 to 1375 of the family's 1533-position model. The record is from RNAcentral.
UGGGGAAUUUUGGACAAUGGGCGAAAGCCUGAUCCAGCAAUGCCGCGUGUGUGAAGAAGGCCUUCGGGUUGUAAAGCACUUUUGUCCGGAAAGAAAUCCUUGGCUCUAAUACAGUCGGGGGAUGACGGUACCGGAAGAAUAAGCACCGGCUAACUACGUGCCAGCAGCCGCGGUAAUACGUAGGGUGCAAGCGUUAAUCGGAAUUACUGGGCGUAAAGCGUGCGCAGGCGGUUUGCUAAGACCGAUGUGAAAUCCCCGGGCUCAACCUGGGAACUGCAUUGGUGACUGGCAGGCUAGAGUAUGGCAGAGGGGGGUAGAAUUCCACGUGUAGCAGUGAAAUGCGUAGAGAUGUGGAGGAAUACCGAUGGCGAAGGCAGCCCCCUGGGCCAAAUACUGACGCUCAUGCACGAAAAGCGUGGGGGAGCAAAACAGGAUUCAGAUACCCUGGUAGUCCACGCCCUAAACGAUGUCAACUAGUUGUUGGGGAUUCAUUUCCUUAGUAACGUAGCUAACGCGUGAAGUUGACCGCCUGGGGAGUACGGUCGCAAGACUGAAACUUAAAUGAAUUGACGGGGUCAUAGCUGUUUCCU